RNAcentral lists this long non-coding RNA (781 nucleotides) under Salvia miltiorrhiza (redroot sage). RNAcentral's name for it is "long non-coding RNA (SMIL_LNC003576)". The record is from RNAcentral. Lineage: Eukaryota; Viridiplantae; Streptophyta; Magnoliopsida; Lamiales; Lamiaceae.
CCGGCACCAAGCAUGAACCAUACUACAAAAACCAAACCCUUUUCAUAAAUUGGAAAUUACAGUCAAAAUUUCCAUUUCACACCACCUUUUUAAUUUCCUGCAUGCAUGCAUUCUAUAAAUAGGCCGGAAAAAACCACAUCUUCUCCAACAUCAACAAAAAUCAUCACCAAACUCUCAUCUUCCAAAUCUUCAAAGUAAAAUUCAAGAUUUUGCAAAAUUAAAUUUCCUUAGUAAUGGCGAAAGGUGCCACAUUUUUCUCGAGUCUUCUUCUUCUUGUUCUUCUCAGUUGUAUCGUUUUUGGUAACGAAGCGCGUUUGCUGAAACCUCAGAGCUCCAUAGAAAUGGAGAUCAUGAAAGUUUUGGAUGAUUUGUACGUGGAGGCUGUGAAGACCGGCGGGCCGAGUAGCGGCGGCGAAGGCCAUGCCGCACCCAAUAGAGCUUUAACUCUUGAGGGAAUCAAGAAAUCUGGUCCAAGCCCUGGAGCAGGAAAUUAAACUACUUCGCUGCCUCUAAUUUUCUUUGGGAGGCUUAAUUACUUCUCGAAAAUUAUUAUUUUUUGUUUACUUAAUUUUCAUAUUCUAUUAAUUAUUGUAAUGUUAAUUGAUUUGUUAUUCUUUCGUUGGAGUGGUGAGAGUAAUAAUAGGGCCAGUGUGUAAUAUUGUAUUUGUUUUCUCGUGAACAAAGAAAUUAUUCGUUCGGAUAUAUAUAUACAUUCUUUUCUAAAUUAAUGUUUAAAUUUUUGCGUUGUAAUUAAGUUCCUUCUAAACUAUUAAUAUGUCAC